Cyprinus carpio (common carp) is the source of this 766-nucleotide long non-coding RNA. The record is from Ensembl. Lineage: Eukaryota; Metazoa; Chordata; Actinopteri; Cypriniformes; Cyprinidae.
AUGUGGGAUCAAAUCCGGGUUGACCAUGGAAAAGAGUUCUAUAUGUGCCUGUAUAUCCAAGAGCUGCUGUCCAGACACAGAUACAAUAUAAACAGGCAACCAUAUGUACAGACAAAAUCAUCAAGGAACCUCAAAGCUGAGCGAAUAUGGCCAGAAAUAAAUAACAGAGUCAACUAUCCCCUGAAAGAAUCCCUGCUGCAACUUCAAGACCAAGAGGUGAUCAACAUGGAGGACAAGACAACUAGAUUUUGUGUAUCCAAUCUCACUUGUCAGGUUUCCUCAAAUGGGCUUGAACGAACUGUGCUAUCAUGGAAUGCACAUAGGAUUGCAGGAAAAGGAAUACCAAGCAUCUUGGCUGAAGGUGGGUGUCCAGCAAAGAUUUCCGAGGAACUCCUUCCACAGGCCUCUGUGGUUGCUGACAUGUACCAGCAAGAUGUGGGGUCCUGUCUGACAAGAACAUCAUCAUUUGUGACAGAUCCCUUUUCUUGUGAGGAAGACAGAGGCCAGGCGGAGGAAAAAUUUGCUGAUCAUUAUCCAGACAUUACACGGUGCUUUGAUCAGGCUGUAAAUUAUGACUUCACACCCUUUAAAGAAGCCAUAUUACAUCUCAUAAAUGUAACAAGACGUUAUUCAUGAAGAUGAAGGUUUCUUGAAUAAUACCAGGAACAAGACAUUCAUCAUAAAACUAACAUUUAUUACAUAUUUUUGUGAACAAUCAUUUUACAAAGUACAAAAAUAUACAAAUAAACAGCAAGUCUUUUGAACA